CCACAUCACAAAAAUAACCAAACACCAAAAUCCAAACUCAAAAGUUACAACUUUCAGAGAAUAACAGAACAAAAGAGAAAAAAAAACAGCAAUCACAGAGACCCAAAAUUGGAAAAAAAAAGUGCUAGAAGCUGAAAGGAAAAUAAAUUGAAGAAUAGAGUUGACACAAGAAAUUACUUGAAAAUCAAAGGGAGUUAUCAUUUUCCUUUCCUAAGGAAGAGAGAAUCAAGGUCAAUCCUGCAACAGAGAAGCUAUAUUGGCGAGAUUGCAAUCCCGCCAUCUCGCACUCACAGCUUUUCCAACUUCUACUGGGUCUCCUCACACUAUCCGCCAUCCCGCACUCACAGCUUUUCCAACUUCUGCCGGGUCUCCUCACACUAUCCGCCAUCCCGCACUCACAAUUUCCUAAAUUAGAAAGAAAAUUAUAAAAGAAAUCAAGUUUCCAUGGAACUUUCAUCAAGUUUCCAUGGAAAUUUCAAGAAUUAUUUAAUGAUUUUUAAAACUCAUUGAGAAUAAUGAUUUCUAGAACUCAUUGAGAAUUUCAAGAAAUGGAGAGAAAAAAAGAGAGAGGGAAGGACUGAGAGGAAGGAGAAGAAAAAGAGAUGCGCGGAGAGGAUAAAAGAAAUAGAGAUUAUAUGAGGGAGAAGAAGGAUGGAGGGAAGAAAUAGAAAAUAUAUGAGGAAGAAGAAAGAUGGAGGGAAGAAACAGAGAAGAUACGAGGGAGAAGGAUGGAGGGAAGAAACAGAAAAGAUAUGAAGUAGAAGAAGGGUUUAAUAAGUUCAUUAAGGGCAUUUUUGGAAAAAAUUUUCACCUCUCACCUUUGACUCUUUGACCAAACGGCUAUUUUGGACGGAAGGACUACGAAUUUGGACGGAAGAGAAAGUGAGGGACUUAAGUGUUGGGUUGCCAAAAUAGAGGGACUUAAGUGUUGGGUUGCCAAAAU
Molecule: long non-coding RNA, 943 nt
Filed under: Manihot esculenta (cassava)
Lineage: Eukaryota; Viridiplantae; Streptophyta; Magnoliopsida; Malpighiales; Euphorbiaceae
Description: long non-coding RNA (MESC_LNC002662)
Source: RNAcentral